Long non-coding RNA from Bubalus bubalis (water buffalo), 648 nucleotides. RefSeq lists it as uncharacterized. The transcript is spliced from 2 exons. Lineage: Eukaryota; Metazoa; Chordata; Mammalia; Artiodactyla; Bovidae. The record is from RefSeq and is a predicted model, not a curated record.
GCAAAGGCUGAGAGGUACGAGAAGACUUGGGACAACAGAGCAGCUGCGUGUGUCAGGGUCCAGGGGAGAGGGUGAAGGAGAGAUGGAUGGGGAGGCCGGGCUGGCUGGAGGAGAGGCAAUCCCCCAGAAAGAGAGCAAGGAGUGAGAAUGAGCCCUCCUCCCCUGAGAACAGAGCCCCGUGGAGCUGCUCCAGGAUCCUCCACCCAGUGCCCUGUGCCUCCAUGAGCUUUGCCGUGGGGAGGUGCUGAGUAGGAGGUUUUCUCUGAGGCAAAAAAACCCAAGCAGCAAGCAGUCAGCUACUCACCGGAGGUCUCUUCCAGACGAACUGGAUGGGGAACUUUUGGCUGUAAAACAGGGAGGUCUCGUCCGGUGGGAACUCAGGAUCCACAAAAAGAACCUUCUUUUCCAGACAUUUCUUGUGAAGCUGCUCGAAUGUCUUCUCUUUCACCCCAAUAAUGGGAAAAUUGCGGCUGAUGAUGGCUGAGUAGAUGCCACUUGGGUUUCCACCCCCUGCCUCGGUGCCCUUGCCCUGGGCUGCCUGGGCGAUGGGCCCUGGGGACCUGGGCUCAGCCCCUGUCCGUGGGGCCACGGAGGCGCUAAUGACGGUCGGCAUGGCAGGCAAAUUUGGAAAGAAAAGGUUUUUAAAGA